CCGGGUGCUAUUUAUUGGACUCACUCCACUUGAUCUCAAGUGAUGCGAUCAUACAGGUCUGUCUAGCCGCCUCCCUUGUCUGUUUGUAGUUGCUGCUUUCUAGCAAGUAGUACAAAUUGGUCUAGCCACAACCCACAGCCGCACCUGUGCCCCUGCAUUCAAACAAAUGGAAUUAAGAUUCGAAGUUAGUAGAAAACUGAUAACAUGUUCAGAAUUUUCACAUCACACAACCAAGUAAACUCCGAUAGACAGAGGACACGAAAAUGGCGCAUCCAUGUUUUGAUUGCAUCCUGUAUUCAACAAUCACAUAGCAUGUUACGUUUCACCCGGAAAAUAAAAAAAUAAAAGAUCACAGAACAUAUUUUACUUGAAGUUUCUUUAUUACCUUAGUGAAUUAGAGAAUAGAACAAUAAUGUAUCUUUUGUUAUGAGAAUGAUUGCAUGAAUAGUACAUCUAGUUCAGGAAAAAAAAGAUCGGGAGAAAAUAUUUGAUAGUUGGAAACCAACUAUAUCAGUUAUAAUAUUCUAAUAUGCUAAUUAUUUCCUUAAUGAAAUGCUCACUAUAUAUAUUCAGAAGUAUAACAGAGUUACAUAGGUGUUACUCUGCUGAUUUGGCUCUGCUUCUCCUGUUUGCAAAGAGGAUUUUCUUAUUUCUGCUAUCUGGCAGUUCUUAUCUAAUAAUGGUUAUCAUUUGCCAUUGAUAAUAUUAUCUCGUAGUUUAAUUCUGCCUAUAGCGCAGGAUUUGAUUUCAUUCACCGUCCAUUAUUUAGCUACUUCAACGUCCUACUAGCCUUGCUAUCUCUAAGGAGAAACAUAAAUGUCGAAUGAUGUUGCCAUUCUUGACACUGAAAAAUGGUCAUGUUUUUCAGGCCCAACAGGUGUUACCUUUGAUAAAGCAUGCAGAUCAUUUACUAUCUCUUUGUCCAUUUCAGGGGAGAGCAUUUCAAAGGAAUCAUGGACUGGAGGUGUAAGGUUACAUGACAAGCUAUUUUGCUCACGCAGUUUGAUAAAAAAAAUUCAUGAAGUCCACUUCCUUGUUUAUUUGGCUCAUGAUUAAUGUUUUUUUAACUUCCAAAUGUUGGCUAGCAAUUGAUAUUCUAUGAUUAAACAUGUCAUAAUCCAUUGAUUUACGGUCACUGUUACAUUUGAUAAUUUAUAAUCACAUAAAUGAACUUAAAUUGUUCCGGGCCUGGCAUGUUUAGCAUUUAUUUACAUUAUAGUACAAUGAAUAUAUGAUGGAAACAACGUCGCAAGAUCACUCAGCACUAUUGGCCGGCACAGCAAAACAUGGAUACACUUCUAGUUUACAUGACGAGUAAUUCAUUUGUUUGCAUCAUGCAUGCAUGUUUAGCUUUCAAAAUAAAUUAUUAUGUUGUAACAAAAUCUUAAUGUAAUCAGACCAAAAGUAUGUGUAGAAUAAGGCUACUUAGUGCAUUCCUAGUACAUGAUAUCGGAACUCCUGGAAAUUAUCAUUCUUGAGCUGAUUAUGUGUCUCCAUUCACACCUCUUCUUAUUUAAUUGCAGAAUGCUCAUACUGAAAAUAGCAAUGCAACCAAGUUAGGUGGUCUUCACCAAGUCACUAAGCAGGUACAUAUAUGCUAGGUAUCCAAACAGUUGUAUAAUUAUGGUUGGUCUAAUUCUCUAUGAAAUUGUCCUUCUUUGCGUAAAGUGAAAUCUUCCCAGUUUUAUGAAUAACAAAUGUUUCAUUUCUUGCAAAAAUGGGAUAAAACUGAAGUCCUGUUCUUUUCAAUCAAUUUGAGAAGCUAAAACAAACCCGUGACCAAUGCAAUUUUAGGGGGUAAAGAUAGAACAUAUGUGGUUGAAGGAGACAUGCUUGGAGAGCAGUAUGGUGCAGUCUUUGUCUGUGGCUCUACAAAUCUAGGUGAUGUGAACUAGUUAGACCAUAUGAAAAAUUCUAAACAGUAGGAGAUGUUUGUUAUGUUUUUGCUUGGCCUUGCUCACAUGUAAGUAUGUUUCCAUACAAGCAUCGAGUGUGCUCCAAUAUCCACAUUUAAGAUACUUUAGUUAUCAAAAUCUUUGUGGCUUUAGGUACAAAAAACUAAGCCAACCAUUCAAACAAAGCAUUUGUAUGAUACACUUCUUAUAAUUUAUCAAAGAACAUCUUAUCUUGCACUUGCCUAAAACAUUGUUCAUUUUCAUUUUCAGGGUGGUUGAGGAUUUGAAAAGAGAGUGCAUUAAGGGAGCCAUGAGUAAUUGGGUAGUUGAGGAUUUGAAAGGAAGUGCACUGAAGGAGCCAGGAUCAGUUGAUGGACCAGUCUGUGAAUGAACAAGUAUUGUGGCUUAUGUUAUAUUUUAGCUUAAUUGAGAACUAUAGUUCUAGACUAUAGGAUAUUUUAUUAUUUAUUUGCAUGUUCUGUAUGAAUAUCUGUUAAUAUUCAGUUGUGAACUUUGGUGUAAUUAUCUGUUCGGGCUGCUUAUUCCACUCAGCCCUUUUUUUUGGAGGGGAACUCAGCUUCUCAAUUUUGAUAACGUGAAGUUUGCAAAUGCGAUCUAUGACGUGGAAUCGUG
RNAcentral lists this long non-coding RNA (2528 nucleotides) under Triticum aestivum (bread wheat). RNAcentral's name for it is "long non-coding RNA (TAES_LNC013636)". Lineage: Eukaryota; Viridiplantae; Streptophyta; Magnoliopsida; Poales; Poaceae. The record is from RNAcentral.